RNAcentral lists this long non-coding RNA (268 nucleotides) under Elaeis guineensis (African oil palm). RNAcentral describes it as "long non-coding RNA (EGUI_LNC020842)". The record is from RNAcentral. Lineage: Eukaryota; Viridiplantae; Streptophyta; Magnoliopsida; Arecales; Arecaceae.
GGAGGGGUUGUCUGGAUCAGCAGAGCUUUCGGAGAUAAAGAGGUCGAGGCUCGAGGAUAAGCUCAAGGAUGCCAUUAUCUUCAGCGAGCAGGAUGCAGAGGAUGUGCAAGCCCGCACAAUGAUACGGUGGUUGUAACAGCAAAUAUUGUUGAUUUGAAUGUACAUCAUGUAUUUAUUAAUAAUGAAAGCUCGAUCAAUAUUCUCUAUCACUCUGUCUUCUCCCAAAUAAGAUUUACUCUGGACCAAUUGAGUAAAUUUGAUACCCCAA